CUACAUCCCAUUCCUGCAUCAUGCUCAGCAUCCUGCAUCCCAGUUCCACAUCCUAUUCUCACACCCCAACCCCACAUCCCAAUCCUACAUCAUGUUCAGCAUCCCACUUCCCAUUCCCACAUCCCAUCCCUGCAUCCCAUUCCCACCUCAUGUUCAACAUCCAAACCAUUCCUGAAUCCCAAUUCCACAUCAUGUUCAGCAUCCCACAUCCCAUUGCCACAUCCCAUUCCUGAAUCUCAUUCCUGAAUCCCAAUUCCACAUCACGUUCAGCAUCAUGCAUAUCAUUCCCAUAUCCCAUUCCUGGAUCAAGUUCAGCAUCCUGCAUCCCAGUCCCACAUCCCAUUCCCUCAUCCCAUUCCCGCAACCCAACCCCACAUCACGUUCAUCAUCCCUCAUCCCAUUCCCACAUCCCAUCCCUACAUCCCAUUCCCACCUCAUGUUCAGCAUCCCACAUCCCAUUCCCUCAUCCCAUUCCUGGAUCACAUUCAGCAUCCUGCAUCCCAGUCCCACAUCCUAUUCUCACAUCCUGUCCCCACAUCCCAAUCCUACAUCGUGUUCAUCACCCUGCAUCCCAUUCCUGCAUCCCAACCCCACAUCACGUUCAUCAUCCCACAUCCCACUCCCUCAUCCCAUUCCCUCAUCCCAUUCCCAUAUCACGUUCAUCAUCCCACAUCCCAUUCCCACAUCCCAUUCCUGCAUCCCAUUUCCAUAUCACAUUCAUCAUCCCUCAUCCCAUUCCUGCAUCCCAACCCCACAUCUCAUUCAUCAUCCCACAUCCCAUUCCUGUAUCCUAUUCCUGUAUCCCAUUCCCACAUCACGUCCAUCAUCCCUCAUCCCAUUCCCUCUUCCAACUCCCUCAUCCCAACCCCACAUCACGUCCGUCAUCCCACAUCCCACUCCCUCAUCCCAUUCCUGCAUCCCAACCCCACAUCACAUUCAGCAUCCCACAUCCCAUUCCUACAUACCAUUCCCUCAUCCCAUUCCUGCAUCCCAUUCCUGGAUCACAUUCAGCAUCCUGCAUCCCACUCCCUCAUCCCACUCCCUCAUCCCAAUCCCACAUCCCGUCCACCAUCCCUCAUCCCAUUCCCUCACCCCCUAUCCCCCCGUACAGAACUACAUCUCCCGACGUUCUCAUCCCCAUCCACAACCGCGACCGUCUCAACUCGCGCGCGCG
RNAcentral lists this long non-coding RNA (1174 nucleotides) under Coturnix japonica (Japanese quail). RNAcentral's name for it is "lncRNA (ENSCJPG00005002924.1)". The record is from RNAcentral. Lineage: Eukaryota; Metazoa; Chordata; Aves; Galliformes; Phasianidae.